UUUUGCAUCUCUCUACAAUACAGAUUCACUUUCACUCCAAAAUCUUCUUCCCCUUCAUUCUUCAAACUCAACGCACCAUAAGAUGUUCAAAAAGUACACUCUCUCAUUCAACACAGAUUCUCAUGUCAUUGCUUCUAUAUCAUUUUUUAUUUUAUUUAUUUAUUAUUUUCCUAUUAUUUUUUCGGAGUUUCAAUCAGCAAUUGCACCAUUGCCGGUGGUAAUGGAACAUAAACCCUAAUUCAAUGCCCAAUUUUUUAUGACACCUUUUUUGCCCCAAAUUGCUCAAUAAUUAUAUGC
RNAcentral lists this long non-coding RNA (297 nucleotides) under Trifolium pratense (red clover). RNAcentral describes it as "long non-coding RNA (TPRA_LNC012985)". The record is from RNAcentral. Lineage: Eukaryota; Viridiplantae; Streptophyta; Magnoliopsida; Fabales; Fabaceae.